UUUGAACGGCUCUUUCGCUCUUUUUCAAAAUUUGGAUGAACAGGGGUUUUUAAAGAAUCGUGUAAAUUACUUAAUAAAAAAAAAUAAAACGAGAGGAUGCCCUUUAAAACCAUUGGUCAUGGUGGUCUCUAUGCCAAGAUUUUUGCUCGAACCUAAACAUUUGAGUAAUUGAAUGGCAUUCAAACUUAAAUCUAGGAUGCUGUUAAAAUUGCUAUUAAUUUUAAAAUUGCGUUGAUUUCUGCAAGAGUUGAACUAAUGCUGAUAUUUUAUUUGGAGAAAAUAUUCUGUAAAACUCUUAUCUGCAUUCUGAUUUAAUCGAUAAAGUUUAUAAACGCUAAAGUUUAAUCGGACAAAAGAAUUUAUUUUUUUGCAAAAUCUCUAAACUAUUCAGUAGAUUUUUUUAUAUUUUACAAAUUAUGCAAUUUGGAAUGCUUAAAUCCAAAUUUCGGUAAUAAUUUAAAGCACAAUCAGUUGUACAAUGAAUGGUUUUGUUUUUCAUUUUGUUUAGAAAAUCAUUUAAUUUUGGGAUUAACUUUUAUAAGCAUUGAAAUAUUUGAAAUUGCUUGUUCAACUCUCAAAAACAAUUGUAAUACUACAUUUUUUUGGUAAUUCAAUAAAUUAUAUUUAUAACAAAAAUCAUACCAUUUUGACACGGUUCUUUCAAAAGACCGGAGAUUAAAAAAGAACCGCGGUUCUUUUUUUGUGAGCCACGGUUCGUUCGCUCUUUUCAGUGAACCGGCUCUUUGAGCGGCUCGCUCUUUUUUUGCCCACCUCUAAUGAAUAUAAUGUUUCAAAUCCGAGCCCCUUUUAUAUACACAAAACACCAUCGAAUCGACCGAGUUUCUGUUGUUGCAGUCAACUUGAUACCAAUAAUAACCAUCUCAGGCAUUCGGCGCGCACCGACGCCACUUGGCGGUUGUGUACCAAUUUUGUGUGUUUAUUUUGGGAAACAUGUCGAGUUCUGGUUAUCAACAAAAACUAUCUAUCCCAAACAUGACAAAUAUACGUGUGCGUUUUGGCAAUAUAGAAUUCCUGUUGGCGGCAGUCGCUGCAAGAAAUGGAAGGAUAUGAGCAGGGAAAAAAGCUACAUGUUAUGGGAGUGAGUUAGCAGCACAGACAGCCAUCCUAUAUGGGAAUAAAUGUGCGCCUUAAAAGUUUGUUCUUUACGCUCUGAUAAAAUUAUAUUCCAACCAAACGAGCGCGAGCUUCAGAGAGAGAAAAAAAACAAUUAUGAUGGUUCCAAGGAUUUGCCGCGCGCGCACGCUCGAAAGAUGGUAUAAAUAACCCAGUAUCAUCAAUCUGAGAUCAUAUAAAGUUUGAAGAAAAAAAUAAAUUCUAGAGGCGGGGGCGAGCGAGAAAAAAGGAUACAAGAAAGCUUACCGCAAGAAUCAAUCGAGGUGUCCUCAAUUCUAAUCGAAAAUUACAGAAAGUUUCUUUGAAAGAUCUUGAUUGAAUUUGUAAUUUGGAUGUAUAUAGGAAUUUAUGAUAUUUUAUUGAAAAUAUGUUUUUAAGCGUGAUUUAUUUGGUUAACAUUUCUACUUGAUAACCGUUACUUGCAGUUGGUUUGAGCUAUUUUAUUUUUCAAUCUCUGUAAACAAAAUCAAAUUAGCGAUGGAAAAAGUUUCGAAGUUUUAAAUAUUGAAUUGGUGAUAAAUAAAGUUAUAGAAUUCAAUUUUGUUUUGGAUACAAUCUUUCAGAAUCAGCGAAAAUUAAAAAAGCUUACAAUUUGGUGAAGUUUUUCAUACCGUUCGAUCAUAUGAAUUCAGAAAGAAGCAUUUCCAAGGUCCCGGAGCAGCGUGUUUUGAUUGAAUGCCUUUGGAAUGCAAACAUGCGAUAUUCGCUGCCUGGGACCAUCGUAAUUCAUGGAAAUUCCAAUCACCUCGUACAUCUUCUAAUCACCAGUAUGCGCUGCACGUCUGAUAACAUUAAGGGCAGCCACAAACAGGUUCAUUCAGGUGAAACCGUCAGCCACAGUGGCCCCCUCUCGAAAGGGCUCACUGCAAUAUAGUAAUUAAAAAUGGUUAAUAAAUAUAUAAUUUAUUAUAUAUUAUUAUAAAUAAUUAUUAUCUUUGACCAAAUAAUUGAAAAUAGACCACCAACGUUGACUGGCUUGGGUCUCUCUUUUUUUUUGCCUUCGAGACUGAUGUGUUGUGUUGUUCCUCUACCUACGCCGCCACGUUAUAUCCAGCGAGCGAACAAACUUGUGUGUGUGUAUGUGUGUGUUGUGUGGAUGGCCCGGGUAAACAUCAACAGCCUCCGCGCGAUCGAUCGAACCGCCAGACCGCCACCGACGGACGACUAACUGACUCGAGGAGGCAGGUAUGUUACGGUGACCAUCAGGAGAAAAGUCUGGGAAAUCUGUUCAAGUUCGGGAAAGUAUUAGCUUUAAAACUUCUUUGAGAAAAGGAAAACGGACCGAGUUCAACUAGUAACCCUAAGGAAUAUAUGCAUAUCACAUACAAACCACACCACCGGCCACCGGGACUGGCCCGGGCCUGGAAGCCGCGCGCGGAACAACACGGCAG
Culex pipiens pallens (northern house mosquito) is the source of this 2525-nucleotide long non-coding RNA. RefSeq lists it as uncharacterized. The transcript is spliced from 3 exons. The record is from RefSeq and is a predicted model, not a curated record. NCBI's taxonomy places the organism in Eukaryota, Metazoa, Arthropoda, Insecta, Diptera, Culicidae.